This 361-nucleotide ribosomal RNA is filed under the name uncultured bacterium. RNAcentral's name for it is "bacterial SSU rRNA". It matches the Rfam family "Bacterial small subunit ribosomal RNA", at positions 29 to 369 of the family's 1533-position model. The record is from RNAcentral.
AGCGAACGCUGGCGGCGUGCUUAACACAUGCAAGUCGAGCGAAGGUGUUUCAAGGGUAACCUUGAGAUACACUUAGCGGCGGACGGGUGAGUAAUACGUGGAUAACUUACCUCUAGGCCUGGGAUAACCCCGGGAACUGGGGCUAAUACCUGAUAAGACCACAUUGUCUACGGACAAAGGGGUAAAAGGUGGCUGUGCAAACAGCUAUCGCCAAAAGAUAGGUUCACGUCCCAUCAGGCAGUGGUGAGGUAAUGGCUCACCAAACCAAAGACGGGUAGCCGGCCUUGGCGGGUGAACGGCCACACGGGGACUGAGACACGGCCCCGACUCCUACGGGAGGCAGCAGUGGGGAAUAGUUGGG